This 430-nucleotide ribosomal RNA is filed under the name Bacillota bacterium. Its description in RNAcentral is "Firmicutes bacterium partial 16S ribosomal RNA". It matches the Rfam family "Bacterial small subunit ribosomal RNA", at positions 355 to 776 of the family's 1533-position model. Lineage: Bacteria; Bacillati; Bacillota. The record is from RNAcentral.
CGGGGAAUAUUGGGCAAUGGGCGCAAGCCUGACCCAGCGACGCCGCGUGGGUGAUGAAGGCCUUCGGGUCGUAAAGCCCUGUCGGGUGGAAAGAACGAGGAUUGGGCCAAUAGCCCAGUUCUGUGACGGUACCACCGAAGGAAGCACCGGCCAAUUCCGUGCCAGCAGCCGCGGUAAGACGGAAGGUGCAAGCGUUGCUCGGAAUCACUGGGCGUAAAGGGUGCGUAGGCGGCUUGGUGGGUCUGGUGUGAAAGCCCCGGGCUCAGCCCGGGAAGGGCGCUAGAAACUGCCGAGCUCGAGUGCCGGAGGGGAGAGUGGAAUUCCUGGUGUAGCGGUGAAAUGCGUAGAUAUCAGGAGGAAUACCGGUGGCGAAAGCGACUCUCUGGACGGUAACUGACGCUGAGGCACGAAAGCGUGGGGAGCAAACAGG